This 242-nucleotide unclassified non-coding RNA is filed under the name uncultured fungus. RNAcentral's name for it is "sequence contains ITS1, 5.8S rRNA gene". The stretch from base 194 to 242 matches the Rfam family "5.8S ribosomal RNA", at positions 1 to 49 of the family's 154-position model. The record is from RNAcentral. Lineage: Eukaryota; Fungi.
UCUCNGUAGGUGAACCUGCGGAGGGAUCAUUACAGAGUAUCAUGCCCUUCGGGGUAGAUCUCCCACCCUGUGUAUUAUAUACCUUUUGUUGCUUUGGCGGGCCGCCUCGGACACCGGCUCCGGCUGGUGCGUGCCCGCCAGAGGACCCCAAACUCUGAAUGUUAGUGUCGUCUGAGUACCAUCUAAUAGUUAAAACCUUCAACAACGGUUCUCUUGGUUCUGGCAUCGAUGAAGAACGCNGC